AUAGUAUAUAUGUAACAACAGAUAGUAUAUAUGUAGCAAUAUAUGUGCACAGUUUGAAUUGUCAAAAUAAAAAAAAUUAACGGCUUUAUUUUAUUUUCCCUCUCUCCUCUCUUCUCUCUUCUCUCUUCUAUAAAUGUCGUUUCGUAUUCCACAAGAUUUAUUUAUUUAUACUAAUUUCUCUUCUAUAUAUGUAAUAUCUGUAGUAAUAAACACGAAAAAAUUAUAUGUUGUAACAGUUAGUAUAUAUGUAGCAACAAAUAUUAUAUAUGUAGCAACAGAUGUCACAGUUUGAAUUGUCAAAAUUAAAAAAAAAUGAACGAUUUUAAUUUUCAUUUUCUCUCUCUCUCAUCUCUCAUCUCUCUUCUAUAAAUGCCGUUUCGUAUUUCACAAAAUUUAUUUAUUUCUUCUCUACUGCCAACUUCUCCUUUUUCUCUUCGAUUCUCUUAGUCCUUCCUUCACAGAUCAUCUUCUACAGCAAGGCGGCUUUGUCCUCAUAAUUUUUACUUUAUCGUUGAUAUAUAUAUCUUCUCAGGUAAGGUAACAUUUAAUUAGGAUUUGAAAUUCAUGUGCUCAUCUGCUUAUUGCCCUAUUUUGACUUAUGGUUGUAGCUCAUGUGUGUGUGGCUUUCAAAUAUUUUAUUUUUAUACUUGCAGGUACAAUGGCUCUUGUCAAAAGAAAAGUUGAUGUCGAUACAUCUGAUCAAAUAAAGACCUAGAAGAAGGCUAGGUCUAAAAUUCAUAGGAAGAGGAAUGAAAAUACUACACUUUUAGAAAAACUUGCAACUGAAGUGGUUUCUUCUUCUUAAACAGAAGUAGAAUUUUGUCAAAAAGAUUAUGAACAAAGACAAGUAGUGGAUGAAGAAGAUGGAAAACAAGAAGUUGAGGAACAAGGAAAAAUAAAUGAAGUUCAGGAAGAAGGGGAAAAUAAAGAAGUAGUAGUUUUGGGGCACAACAAGAAAAAAUAAAUGAAAUUCAUGAAGAAGAACAAGAACUUCAUGUAGAGUUCAAUGCUAGUGGGGAUUAUGGGAUUAAAAUCAUCAAUGCAGAAACUUUUCCUGUGCAUCUGCAGCCUGAUGCUAAUGGUGACAACAUCAUUAGGUCAAUCUUGGAAAGACCUUUCGUCAAAUUCAGGGAUAUCAUCAAGAGAAAUGAAUUGAAAGAUUUUUUCAGAAAUAGUUGUUUUGGUCGUUUUCUUGAUUUACCCAUUGAUCCACUUCCACGUUUUUAAAUGACCAUCGUGUAUGAAAUUUUGAAAAGAAGGUUCAUUUUUGAAAAUACCAAUAAGAUGGAUGAGAUUCUAAUUAAUUAUUGUGGCAUGCCAGUUUUCUUUGACAUUUUAGAGUUUGCCAUAGUUACAGGGCUAAAAUAUCAUCCUCCUGUUGAGACCAUCCCUGAAUACAUUGUUAAAACAGAUACACGACGAAUGACAAUAGUUAAAGAAAUAGUAGACUUAGGAAAACAAUCAGUGCCAACUGAGGAGUAGGACUUGAUGUCCCUUGUUGGCAAAAGCUUUAAAAAUUCUGACUUAUUAUGUUUGUUGGAACGGGAGGAUACAUCAAGGAAGAACAAGGAGUCAUUGUGCUUACUUUGGUUUACACAUAAUAUUCUUUUGCCGAAGGAUCCGGAAAACAACAUACUUUUAAAGUAUGUCAAUUUCUGUCAGGAUAUUGAAGCUUUCAAGAACUACCGUGGGGUCAUGAGAGCUUUCAUCCAACUGUCGACUACAUGUUGAGGCCUUUAGGAGAAAAGAUCAGUAACUUGUUUGGUUUUCCAUGGGCUUUCAUGGCCUGGGCAUUUGAAGUUAUUUCUUAUUUGACCCACCAAGUAAUUUAAGCAGAAAGAGAUCGUCCCCAAGGAUGAUGUGACGGUUGAUGGCAAGAACAAAAACUACCAAAGAAGGGCAUAUUUCAGAUCUUUUUAACCCCUCCUUUUGAUGCAGUAGUCCAUUCAUAGAUUACCCCAACAGAAGAGGAAUUGCAAAUGUCAUAUCUAAUAACUCUAGGGUUAGUUGAAAGCAUUUUUGAUCUUGUUGUGGAUUGAGUUAAAAUGAUGUUGGCUGGAGCAACACCCAUAAAAAGAAAGAGAGUUCCUAAUGAAGUCAGUAAUGAAUUAGUUGUUUUUGAUGUUGAUGAUGGUGUUGAUGUUGAUGAUGGUGCUGGUGUUGGUGUUGCUUCUGCUACUUGUGUUGGUGCUGCUGGUGCAGGACAACAUGAAGGGGAUACCUCUUGUAGAUGAUGUUGUGGCUUCCUCUAUGAGAAGUGUAAGAAACAUGAUGAAUAUUCUAUAAUGUAUUUACAAAAAUUGAGUGAAGCUGUCAAUAAAUUUAAAAACAAGAGGGGUGUGAAGGACAUUGCAUCAAAGAAUGUGCCGCAUGCAUGUACUCCAAAGUCCAAUUGGAGAAAAGAAUCAUUUUCCAAGGAAAUGCAAAAUUUGAAGAGGAAGAUGUUUGGAGAAAUUCCAAGGGCCGUAAUGGAGGAAGAGGUGACGGAGUAUUGACACCCAAUUUUAACCGACCUUUAACCAUUUUUAGGAUUAUAUUCGACUAAAUACCUAUUUUUAAAAUUUACUUAAAGUUUUGAAGUUUUAGU
Molecule: non-coding RNA, 2587 nt
Organism: Solanum lycopersicum (tomato)
Lineage: Eukaryota; Viridiplantae; Streptophyta; Magnoliopsida; Solanales; Solanaceae
Source: RefSeq, a predicted model, not a curated record